This 420-nucleotide ribosomal RNA is filed under the name uncultured bacterium. RNAcentral describes it as "bacterial SSU rRNA". It matches the Rfam family "Bacterial small subunit ribosomal RNA", at positions 361 to 773 of the family's 1533-position model. The record is from RNAcentral.
AUAUUGGACAAUGGGGGCAACCCUGAUCCAGCCAUGCCGCGUGUGUGAAGAAGGCCUUCGGGUUGUAAAGCACUUUAAGUUGGGAGGAAGGCUUGAUGGCGAAUACCCCUCAGGAUUGACGUUACCAACAGAAUAAGCACCGGCUAACUCCGUGCCAGCAGCCGCGGUAAUACGGAGGGUGCAAGCGUUAAUCGGAAUUACUGGGCGUAAAGCGCGCGUAGGCGGCUAUUUAAGCUAGAUGUGAAAGCCCUGGGCUUAACCUGGGAACUGCAUUUAGAACUGGAUGGCUAGAGUAUGGAAGAGGAGUGUGGAAUUUCCGGUGUAGCGGUGAAAUGCGUAGAGAUCGGAAGGAACAUCAGUGGCGAAGGCGACACUCUGGUCCAAUACUGACGCUGAGGUGCGAAAGCGUGGGGAUCAAAC